Molecule: ribosomal RNA, 320 nt
Filed under: Salmonella enterica subsp. enterica serovar Virchow
Lineage: Bacteria; Pseudomonadati; Pseudomonadota; Gammaproteobacteria; Enterobacterales; Enterobacteriaceae
Description: bacterial LSU rRNA
Rfam family: Bacterial large subunit ribosomal RNA
Source: RNAcentral
ACCGAUAGUGAACCAGUACCGUGAGGGAAAGGCGAAAUGAACCCCGGCGAGGGGAGUGAUAAAGAACCUGAAUCCGUGUACGUACAAGCAGUGGGAGCACCCUUCGGUGUGUGACUGCGUACCUUUUGUAUAAUGGGUCAGCGACUUAUAUUCUGUAGCAAGGUUAACCGAAUAGGGGAGCCGGAGGGAAACCGAGUCUUAAUUGGGCGUUAAGUUGCAGGGUAUAGACCCGAAACCCGGUGAUCUAGCCAUGGGCAGGUUGAAGGUUGGGUAACACUAACUGGAGGACCGAACCGACUAAUGUUGAAAAAUUAGCGGAU